RNAcentral lists this transfer RNA (82 nucleotides) under Pelodiscus sinensis (Chinese soft-shelled turtle). It matches the Rfam family "tRNA". From Rfam's summary of the family: Transfer RNA (tRNA) molecules are approximately 80 nucleotides in length. The record is from Rfam by way of RNAcentral. Lineage: Eukaryota; Metazoa; Chordata; Testudines; Trionychidae.
GCUGGGAUGGCUGAGGGGUUAAGGUUUUGGACUUUAAAUCCAAUAGGGUUUCCUUGCGCAGGUUCAAAUCCUGCUCACAGCG